AACGAACGCUGGCGGCAGGCCUAACACAUGCAAGUCGAACGCCGUAGCAAUACGGAGUGGCAGACGGGUGAGUAACGCGUGGGAACAUACCCCUCGGUUCGGAAUAACUCAGGGAAACUUGAGCUAAUACCGGAUACGUCCGAGGUUUUAAUCGACCUUGGAGAAAGAUUUAUCGCCGGAGGAUUGGCCCGCGUCUGAUUAGCUUGUUGGUGAGGUAAUGGCUCACCAAGGCGACGANCAGUAGCUGGUCUGAGAGGAUGAUCAGCCACAUUGGGACUGAGACACGGCCCAAACUCCUACGGGAGGCAGCAGUGGGGAAUAUUGGACAAUGGGCGAAAGCCUGAUCCAGCCAUGCCGCGUGAGUGAUGAAGGCCUUAGGGUUGUAAAGCUCUUUACCCGGGAAGAUAAUGACGGUACCGGGAGAAUAAGCCCCGGCU
This 437-nucleotide ribosomal RNA is filed under the name uncultured bacterium. RNAcentral's name for it is "bacterial SSU rRNA". It matches the Rfam family "Bacterial small subunit ribosomal RNA", at positions 29 to 498 of the family's 1533-position model. The record is from RNAcentral.